AGUCAAUUUUUCCAAUUACCCCACGAGCACCAACACUUAAAAUCUAUUCUCUUCAAAGUCUUCCACCAAUUCCAAGUAGACUUCUUGUCUCCACAAGUGGAAACGUGAAAAUGAAGCACAAUUUACUGAUCAAAAAGUAUAAAUAAUCAAUACAUAUUUCACUAUUUUCUUUAAACUUAUUUUGGCAAUAAAAUUAAUACUAUAUCAUGAAGACAGAUUGUUCAGAUUUGGACGUGGCAUUAGUCGAUUCUUCCUUUGAUUGUAUUGAAAAAUUGCUCAAAUCUACAUAUUCUGUUAUUACGUCUGAUAUAGGACUGUUUUUAUAGAGUUUAUAUAGUAUCCACUUGUUACGAUUGACCAUUUUUCUAAUUAUCUGUUAUUUUGUUUGGAAAGAUUUUCUUUUUAAUUAUUUGUAUUGUAAUCUUUUCAUCAUUGUUAUAACAGUUUACAAUCUUAAUAUAUUUCAG
This 467-nucleotide long non-coding RNA is filed under the name Panax ginseng (ginseng). RNAcentral's name for it is "long non-coding RNA (PGIN_LNC018161)". Lineage: Eukaryota; Viridiplantae; Streptophyta; Magnoliopsida; Apiales; Araliaceae. The record is from RNAcentral.